RNAcentral lists this ribosomal RNA (119 nucleotides) under Bacillus atrophaeus. RNAcentral's name for it is "partial 16S ribosomal RNA". It matches the Rfam family "Bacterial small subunit ribosomal RNA", at positions 1 to 116 of the family's 1533-position model. The record is from RNAcentral. Lineage: Bacteria; Bacillati; Bacillota; Bacilli; Caryophanales; Bacillaceae.
UUAUCGGAGAGUUUGAUCCUGGCUCAGGACGAACGCUGGCGGCGUGCCUAAUACAUGCAAGUCGAGCGGACAGAUGGGAGCUUGCUCCCUGAUGUUAGCGGCGGACGGGGGAGUAACAC